Molecule: ribosomal RNA, 387 nt
Filed under: uncultured bacterium
Lineage: Bacteria
Description: bacterial SSU rRNA
Rfam family: Bacterial small subunit ribosomal RNA
Source: RNAcentral
AUUGAACGCUGGCGGCAUGCCUUACACAUGCAAGUCGAACGGCAGCACGGGAGCAAUCCUGGUGGCGAGUGGCGAACGGGUGAGUAAUAUAUCGGAACGUGCCCGAUCGUGGGGGAUAACGUAGCGAAAGCUACGCUAAUACCGCAUACGAUCUACGGAUGAAAGCGGGGGAUCGCAAGACCUCGCGCGAUUGGAGCGGCCGAUAUCAGAUUAGGUAGUUGGUGAGGUAAAGGCUCACCAAGCCGACGAUCUGUAGCUGGUCUGAGAGGACGACCAGCCACACUGGGACUGAGACACGGCCCAGACUCCUACGGGAGGCAGCAGUGGGGAAUUUUGGACAAUGGGCGCAAGCCUGAUCCAGCAAUGCCGCGUGCAGGAUGAAGGCCU